AUUAAGGUGGCAGAAUCAAGCCAUGCAAAAGACCUAAAAUCUUUCUAUAGGAAAGCAAUCUUCCUCCUUAAUA
Molecule: transfer RNA, 73 nt
Filed under: Phoenicolacerta kulzeri (common Eurasian lizard)
Lineage: Eukaryota; Metazoa; Chordata; Lepidosauria; Squamata; Lacertidae
Description: tRNA-Leu
Source: RNAcentral